UCUACGGGAGGCAGCAGUGGGGAAUAUUGCACAAUGGGCGAAAGCCUGAUGCAGCAACGCCGCGUGAGUGAUGAAGGCCUUCGGGUUGUAAAACUCUGUCUUUGGGGACGAUAAUGACGGUACCCAAGGAGGAAGCCACGGCUAACUACGUGCCAGCAGCCGCGGUAAUA
RNAcentral lists this ribosomal RNA (170 nucleotides) under uncultured Clostridium sp. RNAcentral describes it as "partial 16S ribosomal RNA". It matches the Rfam family "Bacterial small subunit ribosomal RNA", at positions 338 to 525 of the family's 1533-position model. Lineage: Bacteria; Bacillati; Bacillota; Clostridia; Eubacteriales; Clostridiaceae. The record is from RNAcentral.